AGCUACAUAAAGGGUUAUAGGGAUUUUAUGGUGUUCACAUGCAUGCUUAUUAAACAAAGUAAAAAAUUCUCCAAAGAUUAGGUGGGUAGGUCCUGUAUGCAUUAAUUGGUGAAAUAAAGUGAAAAAGAGCAUGUGAGCAUGAAAGGUAAACAAUUAUAUGUGAAUGUGUACACGUAAAAUGAGGGGUGUGGUUAGUGCUUACUUG
This 205-nucleotide long non-coding RNA is filed under the name Vigna radiata. Its description in RNAcentral is "long non-coding RNA (VRAD_LNC016764)". The record is from RNAcentral. Lineage: Eukaryota; Viridiplantae; Streptophyta; Magnoliopsida; Fabales; Fabaceae.